This 848-nucleotide ribosomal RNA is filed under the name uncultured Bacteroidota bacterium. RNAcentral describes it as "bacterial SSU rRNA". It matches the Rfam family "Bacterial small subunit ribosomal RNA", at positions 60 to 914 of the family's 1533-position model. Lineage: Bacteria; Pseudomonadati; Bacteroidota. The record is from RNAcentral.
AGUCGAGGGGUAUAUUUCUUCGGAGAUAGAGACCGGCGCACGGGUGCGUAACGCGUAUGCAAUCUACCUUUUACAGAGGGAUAGCCCAGAGAAAUUUGGAUUAAUACCUCAUAGCAUUGCAGAAAGGCAUCUUUCAGCAAUUAAAGUCACAACGGUAAAAGAUGAGCAUGCGUCCCAUUAGCUAGUUGGUAAGGUAACGGCUUACCAAGGCUACGAUGGGUAGGGGUCCUGAGAGGGAGAUCCCCCACACUGGUACUGAGACACGGACCAGACUCCUACGGGAGGCAGCAGUGAGGAAUAUUGGUCAAUGGGCGCAAGCCUGAACCAGCCAUGCCGCGUGCAGGAUGACGGUCCUAUGGAUUGUAAACUGCUUUUGUACGGGAAGAAACAGCGAUUCGUGAAUCGCCUUGACGGUACCGUAAGAAUAAGGAUCGGCUAACUCCGUGCCAGCAGCCGCGGUAAUACGGAGGAUCCAAGCGUUAUCCGGAAUCAUUGGGUUUAAAGGGUCCGUAGGCGGUUUAGUAAGUCAGUGGUGAAAGCCCAUCGCUCAACGGUGGAACGGCCAUUGAUACUGCUAGACUUGAAUUAUUAGGAAGUAACUAGAAUAUGUAGUGUAGCGGUGAAAUGCUUAGAGAUUACAUGGAAUACCAAUUGCGAAGGCAGGUUACUACUAAUGGAUUGACGCUGAUGGACGAAAGCGUGGGUAGCGAACAGGAUUAGAUACCCUGGUAGUCCACGCCGUANACGAUGGAUACUAGCUGUUGGGAGCGAUCUCAGUGGCUAAGCGAAAGUGAUAAGUAUCCCACCUGGGGAGUACGUUCGCAAGAAUGGAACUCAAAGGAAUUGAC